This 439-nucleotide long non-coding RNA is filed under the name Equus caballus (horse). RNAcentral's name for it is "lncRNA (ENSECAG00000055847.1)". Lineage: Eukaryota; Metazoa; Chordata; Mammalia; Perissodactyla; Equidae. The record is from RNAcentral.
CUGGACUCCUGACAGGAUCCUGUGGACAGAGAGGGCUGCAGGAGGAAACAGGGGGUGCUUAGAAAUACAGCUUGUUGCCAGUGUAAUGAGGAGUGCCUUGGCGACUGUGCCCGUGGGACAGGCCUUCUCUCGCUUUGUGUGCAGAACAGGAAGAGCCGCGCUCUGGCUCUGUGGACUGUGACCACUCAGCGGGCGUUGGAGGACGGCACCUGGAUGCAGAUGCCCCUCUUGCCAUGGCAAACCAAUUCAGCUUCACUCUCAACAAUCUACCCAGUACCCAUUUCUCAGAGAGGGCCUCUUACAAGUAGGAAAAUUGUUUUUGCACUGAAAAGGCAAUAUUUGAGCAGAGACUUGAAUGAAAGUGAGAGACAAAAGCCGUGAUAAGAUUUAAGAGGAUACAUUUCCAAACAAGGAGAAGAACAAGUGCAAAGAUCCUGAG